Molecule: long non-coding RNA, 833 nt
Organism: Mustela lutreola (European mink)
Lineage: Eukaryota; Metazoa; Chordata; Mammalia; Carnivora; Mustelidae
Exons: 2
Source: RefSeq, a predicted model, not a curated record
AUCCACUAGAUCGCCGGCUCCAAGAUCUGAGCGGCCUCAAACAGAUUCCAAAUCCGCAGGCAGAGUUCUCUGAGACUUCGGGUGUUUGGAAGGAUUCUGGAGAUCACUGGCAGAUCCCGGAUAUCUCAGCCCCGCAGGCCUGCCUGGGGGCUGGAAACUCUCCCUGGGAGCCCAGCUUGGCUGCUGGCCUCCUUCUGCGAGUAAGUGCUUCUCUCUCUCUUCACCUGGGACCCUUAGAGGGCGGAGGAGAAGAGAGGCUGAGAGCAAAGGGAAAGCCCAACUGCCUUUGGUGCCCUUGGGGAAGAAGGGGGGAAAGACGGCGGGUGAGGGGCUUCCUGCCGCAGCCUUCAGCGGGACUCUGAGGGUUGGGGGGGGGUCACUGGAGAAGGAGGUGGCUUCCUGCCCCAUUGUUCAGGACUUCAUUGUUUCUCAGGAAUACUUAUUGUAUGAGAAUUUUCAAUAAUUAACUUGGAAAGCUGCACGUGUUCCCAUCAUUCGGCCAACACUGAGCACCUACUGAGUACAGAGGGGGCAGCAGAGCCCCUCAUCACGGAAAGGGGCCAGAAGAACCACUGGGCCAGGGUCUCCAAGUUAGGCUUUUGACAUUAUCUCCGAAUGGGGUUAUACGUUAUGUCAGAUCCACUGACCAAUUUGAUCAAAGACCCUCUUUCUGUGCCCUUAAGCUUGUUUCUUAUUAACAAAGACUACUAUGCCUGUGGAGCACCCUACAUUAUUAUAUUUUAAUAAAUCCUUUAAUCAUCUUGUGAGCAGCACAAUUAUGGUGUGAUUUUUUUUGUAUUAGAAGCCAUUAAUGUAUUAAACGUGGAAAAAUA